GACGAACGCUGGCGGCGUGCUUAACACAUGCAAGUCGAACGGAAAGGCCCUGCUUUUGUGGGGUGCUCGAGUGGCGAACGGGUGAGUAACACGUGAGUAACCUGCCCUUGACUUUGGGAUAACUUCAGGAAACUGGGGCUAAUACCGGAUAGGAGCUCCUGCUGCAUGGUGGGGGUUGGAAAGUUUCGGCGGUUGGGGAUGGACUCGCGGCUUAUCAGCUUGUUGGUGGGGUAGUGGCUUACCAAGGCUUUGACGGGUAGCCGGCCUUGGAGGGUGACCGGCCACAAUGGGACUGAGAUACGGACCAGACUCGUACGGGAGGCAGCAGUGGGGAAUAUUGCACAAUGGGGGGAAGCCUGAUGCAGCAACGCCGCGUGCGGGAUGACGGCCUUCGGGUUGUAAACCGCUUUCGCCUGUGACGAAGCGUGAGUGACGGUAAUGGGUAAAGAAGCACCGGCUAACUACGUG
This 468-nucleotide ribosomal RNA is filed under the name uncultured bacterium. RNAcentral describes it as "partial 16S ribosomal RNA". It matches the Rfam family "Bacterial small subunit ribosomal RNA", at positions 28 to 507 of the family's 1533-position model. The record is from RNAcentral.